RNAcentral lists this long non-coding RNA (2273 nucleotides) under Homo sapiens (human). Its description in RNAcentral is "HSALNT0359717". Lineage: Eukaryota; Metazoa; Chordata; Mammalia; Primates; Hominidae. The record is from RNAcentral.
GCAGAUCCAGCCCCAGGAGCCAUAGAGAGGAGGUUUCGUGGGGUUUCAGUCACCCAGGCUGGAGUGCAGUGGUGCGUUCGCGGCUCCUUGCAGCCCCGCCCUCUCGGGCUCAGGUGAUCCUCCCAUCUCCGCCUCCCGAGUAGGUGGGACUACAGUAGUGUAUCAGCACACCCGGCUAUUUUUUUUUUUUUUUUUUUUUGUAGAGACAGGGUUUCGCCAUGUUGCCUAGGCUGGUCUCCAACCUGGUCUCCUGGGCUCAAGCGAUCCGCCCGCCUCGGCCUCCCACAGUGCUGGGAUUCCAGGCGUGAGCUACCGCGCCCGGCCUAUUUACUUUUCUUACUAAGCUGGGGAUCACCGUCGCCCUCGGCUUGGCAGGAAGGCGGGGGUGCAAGAAGAAAAGAGGUACAGAACACCCAGAGGUGCCCUCGAUUCCGUCUUGCACUUGCCCUUCUCCCACCGUCCAGCAAUAAAGCGAGAGAAACAAGUGCAGGAAACUGGCCGGCAGUCAUGGGAGAAGCCAAAAAGACAGCCUUGGGGAGCCGGCGGGAUCCAGAGCGGGGCUCCUCUCCGCACUUUGUAGCUGCGUUGCUCCGCUCCAUGCCCUGCCUCAGCCACUCCUCCUGGUUACCAGGCAAAAGGAAACACCUUGAGCUGGCCAGGAGCUACCAGCGUCUGUCUACACCUGGGUGAGCCGUACUGGUCGUAGUGGCCCCACCCUACAAGGAUGCCCUUCCUACAGUAUUACUGAUGGCUGUCUAAUCCGGUUAGCUCCCAGUCACUACACCCCAGCCUCCCAGCGCCUGCAGGUGGAUUGGGUUAUCCUCACAUUUGAGUGAAACUCCUGCACACCAGACACUGAAUCGAGUUGUCUGGGAGCAUCUAACUGCAAGUUAUGUCGAUCCGAGGAAGGGGGGUACUGAUAUUACCCCUGCUUUCCAUAGCAAAAAGCUGCUUGCCUCACAGUUGGUGUCCAGUGUAUUCAGUGACUGGAGCUUAUGUAGGUUAAAUAACUCAUCCCAACUCACACAGCUGGCUAUAGUAAGGGCAAAAUUCAACCCCCAGUCUGUCUCAAGACUCAGGCUCACAAUGUUGGUCUUAUUGCCCACCUGUGCAGGAGCUUCUCGCAGACUGUCUCGAAGUCCUCCCACUCUAGAAUGUUACAUAAGCGCUUUAAUUUUUUUUUUUUUUUUUUUGAGAUGGGGUCUUGCUCUGUUGUCUAGGCUGGAGUGCAGCGGCAUGAUCUCGGCACACUGCAGCCACCGUCUUCCAGGUUCAAGCGAUUCUCCCACCUCAGCCUCCCGAGGAGCUGGGAUUACAGGAGUUCAGUGGCAUGACCAGGGCUCACUGCAACCUUGAUCUGGGCUCAAGUGAUCCUCCUACCUCAGCUUCCUGAGUAGCUAGGACCACAGGUGUGCACCAACCACACCCGACUAAUUUUUGUAGAGAUGAGAUCCCACUAUGUUACCCAGGCUGGUCUUGAACUCCUGGGCUCAGGUGAUCAUCCUGCCUUGGCUUCCCAAAGUACUGGGAUUAUAGGCUUGAGCCACCGUGCCUGGCCUGUGAUCAGAAUUCUCAUUUUUUUAGUCACUAAAAAUGCUGGGGGGCACUCCAUUCUCCAUUAUGUGAUUAGUUCACAUUGCAUGCUUGUAUCAAAACAUCAUAUAUACCCCACAAAUAUAUACAAAAAACUUUAAAAUUUUAAGUAUUAAUUGCUCAGGAAAAAAUUAAAAUGCUGGGGUGCUGAAAUCUCAAGGGCCCCAUUACAAAACUCCUUAGGAACCUCGCCCUCUCUCUGCUGUAAGGACUGGUUCCAGAAUGAGAGAAUUUAAAAGACAUUCCCCCCCCAAAAUGUUCAUAAUGUCACCCCGGAAACCUGCGAAUAUGUUAUAUUACAUGACCAGGGAGAAGUAAGGUUGCAGAUGGCAGUAAGGUUGCUAAUGGGCUGACCUUAAGAUAAGGAGAUGAUCCUGGAUUAUCUGGGUGGACCCAAUGUAAUCACAAGGGUCCUUAACUGUGGAAUAGUGAGGUGGCUGAGUCAGAGGCAGAGUGAUGCAAUGACUGAAAGACUUAACCAGCCAUCACCGGCUUUGAAUACGGAAGACGGUCAUGAGCCAGGGAAUGCAGGCAGGCUCUGGGAGCUGAAAAAAGCAAGAAAAUGGAUUCUCCCCUGGAGCCUCCAGAAGGGAUGCGGUCCUGCCAACCCCUUGUCAGUGAGCCAUUUCAGAUUUCUGACUUCCAGGACUGUAAGAAAAUAAACUUGUCUUGUUUUCAGC